UGGUCUUACAGGCAGUAUAAGAAGCAUGGCACCAGCAACUGCUUGUGGUGAGGCCUCAGGAAGCUUACAAUCAUAGAGGAAGGCAAGAGGAGCUGGCUUGUCACAUGGCCACUCUUCUGUAGGGCUGCUGCAGUUUGCUGGGGGAUCACUCCAGGCCCUAGUUGCCUAGGUUUUCCCCUUACCUGGAUGUAUCACCAGUGAAGUCUGCAAAACAGCAAAGAUGGCAGCCUGCCCCUUCCUCUAGGAGCUCUGUCCCAGGAGUGGAAUGUGGAGGUUUGAGAAGCAUCUACAGUUUGAAGCACAAUAUCAGCAAUAUUAUCAGCAGAAAAACAUCAACAGGAUUGUGAGAUGAAGUAUUUGUCUGCAAUCUGUAAUGCCUCAAGCCUUGCUACUCUUUCAAGCGUAGCCCUUGGACUAGCAGCACUGAUGUUACCAGAAGUUUUGAGAAAUUCAGCAUCCCCAGUUCUACCUCAGACCUACCAUAUUAGAAUUUGCAUCUUUAAUAAGAUUCCCAGGAAACAUAAUCACUGGUGCACCAUACGUCCCUCCUUGAGUGACCUUGAUGACACAGUGCAGAAACAUCUGUCAUUUGUAGCCGGAUCUGUUUGCUAUUGUAAUUUUACAAACUGCCAAUAAGCCUCGAGGGCCUGGAACCAGAGCUGUCUUGAGAUGAAUGUGACCUAUGAGAAGCAGGCUUUUCCAGGUAGGAGAAAGACGAUAUUCCCCCUGGCAAAGGGAGCUCAUGCCUGUUUGAUUAUGAAGCAUAUACAUUAUGUCACUGGAAAUAAGGAGGGGUUAGUAGAAGCUCCAGAAAGGAGUCUCCAGCUAGGUAUGUUGAUUGGCUAGCAUUGAGCGGUAGCUUCAACUUACCUGGGACACAAAUGGCUUACGAGAUGGAACGUGAACUCUAUGGCCAAAAACAUUUGAUUUUCAUUAAAGGUGGCCACAGUGUGUUAACUUAAUAGAAAGUCGCCGGUGAUUGUUUUCCAAAGGACACACCUGGGGGUGGGAGUGGAGGACAUAAAUGUAAUAAUGUAUAGAUGGCCAAUUAUAAGAUGUUUUGAGUUGCUGACUGCCUAAAAACAUUCAUUCAAUCACAUUGGUUCAUAGAAUUACACAAAGAAUUAAAAGCCUGCUGCUCUGGGGGUGUCUCAGCUGGACAACCCACAAAAGCUAUGCCUGGCCAAUCAGAAUGUGAAAGGAGGAGGUGGCAGUGGCAGUGAUAGCAUUUCACUUCCUACUGUGGCAGGGUCCAUUCCUUUAGAUUUAGCUUUCAAAUAACAACCUCUCUGGCUCCUCACCUGGCCCCAGCUGGAGA
Homo sapiens (human) is the source of this 1318-nucleotide long non-coding RNA. RefSeq lists it as uncharacterized. Lineage: Eukaryota; Metazoa; Chordata; Mammalia; Primates; Hominidae. The transcript has 4 exons. The record is from RefSeq and is a predicted model, not a curated record.